UGUUCCUCAGACCCGUUCUUUACACAAUGAUACUUAGAGAAACAUCAAACUAAUGAAUUAUCACUCAACCCUUCCUUGUGAAAUAUAGGUACGGAAAGAUGAGGAGAAGAAGACCCCCACUAAACCAAGCAGCCUGGGAUAGUUUGCUUAGGAAAGAUGUUGACUGGAUAUUUGAGAUGCUGGAGAGACUCAUUGCUGCCCAGCAGGGCCGAGAGGAGAGGAGGGAGCUACUUGACCCUCCCCCGCUUCCACAGUUUGAGCCACCACUACAGUGAGAGGAUCCCGAGCCACCUCGUUACGACCCUACUCCUCCAUAGUGCCACCCGGCACCAUCGCAAUAU
This 341-nucleotide long non-coding RNA is filed under the name Carica papaya (papaya). Its description in RNAcentral is "long non-coding RNA (CPAP_LNC010165)". The record is from RNAcentral. Lineage: Eukaryota; Viridiplantae; Streptophyta; Magnoliopsida; Brassicales; Caricaceae.